This 395-nucleotide ribosomal RNA is filed under the name Shigella boydii. RNAcentral's name for it is "bacterial SSU rRNA". It matches the Rfam family "Bacterial small subunit ribosomal RNA", at positions 84 to 475 of the family's 1533-position model. Lineage: Bacteria; Pseudomonadati; Pseudomonadota; Gammaproteobacteria; Enterobacterales; Enterobacteriaceae. The record is from RNAcentral.
UUCGCUGACGAGUGGCGGACGGGUGAGUAAUGUCUGGGAAACUGCCUGAUGGAGGGGGAUAACUACUGGAAACGGUAGCUAAUACCGCAUAAUGUCGCAAGACCAAAGAGGGGGACCUUCGGGCCUCUUGCCAUCGGAUGUGCCCAGAUGGGAUUAGCUUGUUGGUGGGGUAACGGCUCACCAAGGCGACGAUCCCUAGCUGGUCUGAGAGGAUGACCAGCCACACUGGAACUGAGACACGGUCCAGACUCCUACGGGAGGCAGCAGUGGGGAAUAUUGCACAAUGGGCGCAAGCCUGAUGCAGCCAUGCCGCGUGUAUGAAGAAGGCCUUCGGGUUGUAAAGUACUUUCAGCGGGGAGGAAGGGAGUAAAGUUAAUACCUUUGCUCAUUGACGU